CCUACGGGUGGCAGCAGUGAGGAAUAUUGGUCAAUGGCCGUAAGCCUGAACCAGCCAAGUCGCGUGAAGGAAGAAGUAUCUAUGGUUUGUAAACUUCUUUUAUAGGGGAAUAAAGGUCUCUACGUGUGCAUAUUUGCAUGUCCCCUAUGAAUAAGCAUCCGCUAACUCCGUGCCAGCAGCCGCGGUAAUACGGAGGAUGCGAGCGUUACCCGGAUUUAUUGGGUGUAAAGGGUGCGUAGGUUGUUUUGUAAGUCAGCGGUGAAAGUUUGUGGCUCAACCAUGAAAUUGCCGUUGAAACUGGAAGGCUGGAGUGUGGUUGAGGUAGGCGGAAUGCGUGGUGUAGCGGUGAAAUGCGUAGAUAUCAGGAAGAACUCCGAUUGCGAAGGCAGCUUACUAAGCCAUAACUGACACUGAAGCACGAAGGCGUGGGGAGCAAACAGGAUUAGAUACCCCAGUAGUC
Molecule: ribosomal RNA, 460 nt
Filed under: uncultured bacterium
Lineage: Bacteria
Description: partial 16S ribosomal RNA
Rfam family: Bacterial small subunit ribosomal RNA
Source: RNAcentral